RNAcentral lists this ribosomal RNA (459 nucleotides) under Lysinibacillus sp. Its description in RNAcentral is "bacterial SSU rRNA". It matches the Rfam family "Bacterial small subunit ribosomal RNA", at positions 432 to 882 of the family's 1533-position model. Lineage: Bacteria; Bacillati; Bacillota; Bacilli; Caryophanales; Bacillaceae. The record is from RNAcentral.
UCUGUUGUAAGGGAAGAACAAGUACAGUAGUAACUGGCUGUACCUUGACGGUACCUUAUUAGAAAGCCACGGCUAACUACGUGCCAGCAGCCGCGGUAAUACGUAGGUGGCAAGCGUUGUCCGGAAUUAUUGGGCGUAAAGCGCGCGCAGGCGGUCCUUUAAGUCUGAUGUGAAAGCCCACGGCUCAACCGUGGAGGGUCAUUGGAAACUGGGGGACUUGAGUGCAGAAGAGGAAAGUGGAAUUCCAAGUGUAGCGGUGAAAUGCGUAGAGAUUUGGAGGAACACCAGUGGCGAAGGCGACUUUCUGGUCUGUAACUGACGCUGAGGCGCGAAAGCGUGGGGAGCAAACAGGAUUAGAUACCCUGGUAGUCCACGCCGUAAACGAUGAGUGCUAAGUGUUAGGGGGUUUCCGCCCCUUAGUGCUGCAGCUAACGCAUUAAGCACUCCGCCUGGGGAGUA